This 497-nucleotide ribosomal RNA is filed under the name uncultured bacterium. RNAcentral's name for it is "partial 16S ribosomal RNA". It matches the Rfam family "Bacterial small subunit ribosomal RNA", at positions 28 to 507 of the family's 1533-position model. The record is from RNAcentral.
GAUGAACGCUGGCGGCGUGCCUAAUACAUGCAAGUCGAGCGAACGGACGAGAAGCUUGCUUCUCUGAUGUUAGCGGCGGACGGGUGAGUAACACGUGGAUAACCUACCUAUAAGACUGGGAUAACUUCGGGAAACCGUAGCUAAUACCGGAUAAUAUUUUGAACCGCAUGGUUCAAAAGUGAAAGACGGUCUUGCUGCCACUUAUAGAUGGAUCCGCGCUGCAUUAGCUAGUUGGUAAGGUAACGGCUUACCAAGGAAACGAUGCAUAGCCGACCUGAGAGGGUGAUCGGCCACACUGGAACUGAGACACGGUCCAGACUCCUACGGGAGGCAGCAGUAGGGAAUCUUCCGCAAUGGGCGAAAGCCUGACGGAGCAACGCCGCGUGAGUGAUGAAGGUCUUCGGAUCGUAAAACUCUGUUAUUAGGGAAGAACAUAUGUGUAAGUAACUGUGCACAUCUUGACGGUACCUAAUCAGAAAGCCACGGCUAACUACGUG